AUACCUUCUCGGCCUUUUGGCUAAGAUCAAGUGUAGUAACUGUCGUUGUCGGGUCGAAUACGAGAGGUACCUCUU
This is a non-coding RNA of Diplonema papillatum, 75 nucleotides long. The record is from the annotation of a GenBank genome assembly. Lineage: Eukaryota; Euglenozoa; Diplonemea; Diplonemida; Diplonemidae.